AUUGAACGCUGGCGGCAUGAUUUACACAUGCAAGUCGAACGGUAACAGGCCGCAAGGUGCUGACGAGUGGCGAACGGGUGAGUAAUGCAUCGGAGCGUGCCCAGUCGUGGGGGAUAACUACUCGAAAGAGUAGCUAAUACCGCAUACGAUCUAUGGAUGAAAGCGGGGGACCGUAAGGCCUCGCGCGAUUGGAGCGGCCGAUGUCAGAUUAGGUAGUUGGUGGGGUAAAGGCUCACCAAGCCAACGAUCUGUAGCUGGUCUGAGAGGACGACCAGCCACACUGGGACUGAGACACGGCCCAGACUCCUACGGGAGGCAGCAGUGGGGAAUUUUGGACAAUGGGCGCAAGCCUGAUCCAGCAAUGCCGCGUGCAGGAAGAAGGCCUUCGGGUUGUAAACUGCUUUUGUACGGAACGAAACGGCUCUGGUUAAUACCCGGGGCUAAUGACGGUACCGUAAGAAUAAGCACCGGCUAACUACGUG
This 482-nucleotide ribosomal RNA is filed under the name uncultured bacterium. RNAcentral describes it as "partial 16S ribosomal RNA". It matches the Rfam family "Bacterial small subunit ribosomal RNA", at positions 30 to 507 of the family's 1533-position model. The record is from RNAcentral.